ACGGGGGGAGCAAGCGUUGUUCGGAUUUACUGGGCGUAAAGGGCGCGUAGGCGGCCACUGCAAGUCGGUUGUGAAAUCUCCGGGCUUAACCCGGAAAGGUCAAUCGAUACUGCAGGGCUAGAGUGCGGAAGGGGCAACUGGAAUUCUCGGUGUAGCGGUGAAAUGCGUAGAGAUCGGAAGGAACACCAGUGGCGAAGGCGACUACCUGGACCGCAACUGACACUGAGGCGCGAAAGCGUGGGUAGCAAACAGGA
RNAcentral lists this ribosomal RNA (254 nucleotides) under uncultured prokaryote. RNAcentral describes it as "partial 16S ribosomal RNA". It matches the Rfam family "Bacterial small subunit ribosomal RNA", at positions 525 to 777 of the family's 1533-position model. The record is from RNAcentral.